GGAAUAUUGCACAAUGGGGGAAACCCUGAUGCAGCGACGCCGCGUGAGUGAAGAAGUAUCUCGGUACGUAAAGCUCCAUCAGCAGGGAAGAAAAAAAGUCCUUGGCUUUGGACGGUACCUGACUAAGAAUCCCCGGAUAACUACGUGCCACCAGCCGCGGUCAUACGUAGGGGGCAAGCGUUAUCCGGAUUUACUGGGUGUAAAGGGAGCGUAGACGGCAGCGCAAGUCUGGAGUGAAAUGCCGGGGCUCAACCCCGGAACUGCUUUGGAAACUGUGCAGCUAGAGUGCGGGAGAGGUAAGCGGAAUUCCUAGUGUAGCGGUGAAAUGCGUAGAUAUUAGGAGGAACACCAGUGGCGAAGGCGGCUUGCUGGACCGUAACUGACGUUGAGGCUCGAAAGCGUGGGGAGCAAA
Molecule: ribosomal RNA, 412 nt
Filed under: uncultured bacterium
Lineage: Bacteria
Description: bacterial SSU rRNA
Rfam family: Bacterial small subunit ribosomal RNA
Source: RNAcentral